GCUGGCGGCAGGCCUAACACAUGCAAGUCGAGCGGUUGACGGGAGCUUGCUCCCUGAUUCAGCGGCGGACGGGUGAGUAAUGCCUAGGAAUCUGCCUAUUAGUGGGGGACAACGUUUCGAAAGGAACGCUAAUACCGCAUACGYUCUACGGGAGAAAGCAGGGGACUUCGGGCCUUGCGCUAAUAGAUGAGCCUAGGUCGGAUUAGCUAGUUGGUGAGGUAAUGGCUCACCAAGGCGACGAUCCGUAACUGGUCUGAGAGGAUGAUCAGUCACACUGGAACUGAGACACGGUCCAGACCUCUACGGGAGGCAGCAGUGGGGAAUAUUGGACAAUGGGCGAAAGCCUGAUCCAGCCAUGCCGCGUGUGUGAAGAAGGUCUUMGGAUUGUAAAGCACUUUAAGUUGGGAGGAAGGGUUGUAGAUUAAUACUCUGCAAUUUUGACGUUACCGACAGAAUAAGCACCGGCUAACUCUGUGCCAGCAGCCGCGGUAAUACAGAGGGUGCAAGCGUUAAUCGGAAUUACUGGGCGUAAAGCGCGCGUAGGUGGUUUGUUAAGUUGGAUGUGAAAGCCCCGGGCUCAACCUGGGAACUGCAUCMAAAACUGGCAAGCUAGAGUACGGUAGAGGGUGGUGGAAUUUCCUGUGUAGCGGUGAAAUGCGUAGAUAUAGGAAGGAACACCAGUGGCGAAGGCGACCACCUGGACUGAUACUGACACUGAGGUGCGAAAGCGUGGGGAGCAAACAGGAUUAGAUACCCUGGUAGUCCACGCCGUAAACGAUGUCAACUAGCCGUUGGAAUCCUUGAGAUUUUAGUGGCGACACKAACGCAUUAAGUUGACCGCCUGGGAGU
This 849-nucleotide ribosomal RNA is filed under the name Phytopseudomonas straminea. Its description in RNAcentral is "bacterial SSU rRNA". It matches the Rfam family "Bacterial small subunit ribosomal RNA", at positions 35 to 881 of the family's 1533-position model. Lineage: Bacteria; Pseudomonadati; Pseudomonadota; Gammaproteobacteria; Pseudomonadales; Pseudomonadaceae. The record is from RNAcentral.